Molecule: ribosomal RNA, 460 nt
Filed under: uncultured bacterium
Lineage: Bacteria
Description: partial 16S ribosomal RNA
Rfam family: Bacterial small subunit ribosomal RNA
Source: RNAcentral
CCUACGGGAGGCAGCAGUGAGGAAUAUUGGUCAAUGGGCGCGAGCCUGAACCAGCCAAGUAGCGUGAAGGAUGACUGCCCUACGGGUUGUAAACUUCUUUUAUAAAGGAAUAAAGUGAGGCAAGUGUGCCCUUUUGUCUGUACUUUAUGCAUAAGAAUCGGCUAACUACGUGCCAGCAGCCGCGGUAAUACGUAGGAUCCGAGCGUUAUCCGGAUUUAUUGGGUUUAAAGGGAGCGUAGAUGGGUUGUUAAGUCAGUUGGGAAAGUUUGCGGCUCAACCGUAAAAUUGCAAUUGAUACUGGCAGUCUUGAGUACAGUUGAGGUAGGCGGAAUUCGUGGUGUAGCGGUGAAAUGCUUAGAUAUCACGAAGAACUCCGAUUGCGAAGGCAGCUUACUAAACUGCCACUGACAUUGAUGCUCGAAAGUGUGGGUAUCAAACAGGAUUAGAUACCCCUGUAGUC